Molecule: ribosomal RNA, 253 nt
Filed under: uncultured bacterium
Lineage: Bacteria
Description: partial 16S ribosomal RNA
Rfam family: Bacterial small subunit ribosomal RNA
Source: RNAcentral
GACGUAGGGCGCGAGCGUUGUCCGGAUUUAUUGGGCGUAAAGAGCUCGUAGGCGGCUUGUCGCGUCGUCCGUGAAAACCUGCGGCUCAACUGCAGGCUGGCGGUCGAUACGGGCAGGCUGGAGUUCGGUAGGGGAGACUGGAAUUCCUGGUGUAGCGGUGAAAUGCGCAGAUAUCAGGAGGAACACCGGUGGCGAAGGCGGCUUUCUGGGUCUUACCUGACGCUGAGGAACGAAAGCCAGGGGAGCGAACGGG